RNAcentral lists this ribosomal RNA (630 nucleotides) under uncultured Verrucomicrobiota bacterium. Its description in RNAcentral is "bacterial SSU rRNA". It matches the Rfam family "Bacterial small subunit ribosomal RNA", at positions 37 to 645 of the family's 1533-position model. Lineage: Bacteria; Pseudomonadati; Verrucomicrobiota. The record is from RNAcentral.
UGGCGGCGUGGUUAAGACAUGCAAGUCGGACGAGAUUUUUCGUUGUAGCAAUACGAUGGGAAGUUUAGUGGCGAACGGGUGCUUAACACGUGGGCAAUCUGUCUUGAAGUGGGGGAUAGCUCGGCGAAAGCCGAAUUAAUACCGCAUGUGAUUAGAAUGGACAUCCAUUCAAAAUUAAAGUCGGGGCAACCUGACGCUUUUUGAGGAGCCCGCGGCCUAUCAGCUUGUUGGUGAGGUAACGGCUCACCAAGGCAUUGACGGGUAGCUGGUCUGAGAGGACGACCAGCCACACUGGGACUGAGACACGGCCCAGACACCUACGGGUGGCAGCAGUCGAGAAUUUUUCUCAAUGGGGGAAACCCUGAAGGAGCGACGCCGCGUGGAGGAUGAAGGUCUUCGGAUUGUAAACUCCUGUCAUUGGGGAACAAGUCGCUUACGUUAACUGCGUGAGCGUUGAUAGUACCCGAAGAGGAAGAGACGGCUAACUCUGUGCCAGCAGCCGCGGUAAUACAGAGGUCUCAAGCGUUGUUCGGAUUCAUUGGGCGUAAAGGGUGCGUAGGCGGCGCGGUAAGUCGGGUGUGAAAUCUCGGAGCUUAACUUCGAAACUGCAUUCGAUACUGCCGUGCUUGA